GGGAAGAUCGUCCAGUGGCUAGGAUGAUGGGCUCCAGACCCAUUGAUCAAGGGUUCGAAUCCCUUUCUUCCCA
RNAcentral lists this transfer RNA (73 nucleotides) under Promethearchaeota archaeon. Its description in RNAcentral is "Candidatus Lokiarchaeota archaeon (microbial mat metagenome) tRNA-Trp". It matches the Rfam family "tRNA". From Rfam's summary of the family: Transfer RNA (tRNA) molecules are approximately 80 nucleotides in length. The record is from RNAcentral. Lineage: Archaea; Promethearchaeati; Promethearchaeota.